UGGGGAAUUUUGGACAAUGGGGGCAACCCUGAUCCAGCCAUGCCGCGUGCGGGAAGAAGGCCUUCGGGUUGUAAACCGCUUUUAGUCGGGAAGAAAAGGUUAUCCCUAAUAAGGAUGACUCUUGACGGUACCGGCGGAAUAAGCACCGGCUAACUACGUGCCAGCAGCCGCGGUAAUACGUAGGGUGCGAGCGUUAAUCGGAAUUACUGGGCGUAAAGCGUGCGCAGGCGGUUCGUUAAGUUCGUCGUGAAAGCCCCGGGCUCAACCUGGGAACUGCGAUGGAAACUGGCGGGCUUGAGUAUGGCAGAGGGGGGUGGAAUUCCGCGUGUAGCAGUGAAAUGCGUAGAGAUGCGGAGGAACACCGAUGGCGAAGGCAGCCCCCUGGGCCAAUACUGACGCUCAGGCACGAAAGCGUGGGGAGCAAACA
This 427-nucleotide ribosomal RNA is filed under the name uncultured beta proteobacterium. RNAcentral describes it as "partial 16S ribosomal RNA". It matches the Rfam family "Bacterial small subunit ribosomal RNA", at positions 355 to 774 of the family's 1533-position model. Lineage: Bacteria; Pseudomonadati; Pseudomonadota; Betaproteobacteria. The record is from RNAcentral.